AGCGUAGGCGGAUAGUUUAGUCAGAGGUGAAAGCCCAGGGCUCAACCUUGGAAAUGCCUUUGAUACUGGCUAUCUUGAGUAUGGGAGAGGUAAGCGGAGUUCCGAGUGUAGAGGUGAAAUUCGUAGAUAUUCGGAAGAACACCGGUGGCGAAGGCGGCUUACUGGCCCAUUACUGACGCUGAGGCUCGAAAGCGUGGGGAGCAAACA
RNAcentral lists this ribosomal RNA (207 nucleotides) under uncultured bacterium. Its description in RNAcentral is "partial 16S ribosomal RNA". It matches the Rfam family "Bacterial small subunit ribosomal RNA", at positions 568 to 774 of the family's 1533-position model. The record is from RNAcentral.